CAUUUGUUCUCUAAAUAAGGACUUGUAUGAAUGGCCACACGAGGGUUUUACUGUCUCUUACUUCCAAUCAGUGAAAUUGACCUCCCCGUGAAGAGGCGGGGAUAAACCAACAAGACGAGAAGACCCUAUGGAGCUUUAACUAACUAACCCAAAGAAAACAACUCAACCACCAGGGAAUAAAAUACUCCUUAUGGGUUAGCAGUUUUGGUUGGGGUGACCUCGGAGAACAAAAAAUCCUCCGAGCGAUUCUAAAGACUAGACCCACAAGUCAACUCAAAUUAUCGCUUAUUGAUCCAAAUACUUGAUCAACGGAACAAGUUACCCUAGGGAUAACAGCGCA
RNAcentral lists this ribosomal RNA (340 nucleotides) under Pantholops hodgsonii (chiru). RNAcentral's name for it is "partial 16S ribosomal RNA". It matches the Rfam family "Bacterial large subunit ribosomal RNA", at positions 1966 to 2484 of the family's 2925-position model. The record is from RNAcentral. Lineage: Eukaryota; Metazoa; Chordata; Mammalia; Artiodactyla; Bovidae.